This 468-nucleotide ribosomal RNA is filed under the name uncultured bacterium. Its description in RNAcentral is "partial 16S ribosomal RNA". It matches the Rfam family "Bacterial small subunit ribosomal RNA", at positions 28 to 507 of the family's 1533-position model. The record is from RNAcentral.
GACGAACGCUGGCGGCGUGCUUAACACAUGCAAGUCGAACGGAAAGGCCCUGCUUUUGUGGGGUGCUCGAGUGGCGAACGGGUGAGUAACACGUGAGUAACCUUCCCUUUACUUUGGGAUAACUUCAGGAAACUGGGGCUAAUACCGGCUAGGAGCUCCUGCUGCAUGGUGGGGGUUGGAAAGUUUCGGCGGUUGGGGAUGGACUCGCGGCUUAUCAGCUUGUUGGUGGGGUAGUGGCUUACCAAGGCUUUGACGGGUAGCCGGCCUGAGAGGGUGACCGGCCACAUUGGGACUGAGAUACGGCCCAGACUCCUACGGGAGGCAGCAGUGGGGAAUAUUGCACAAUGGGCGGAAGCCUGAUGCAGCAACGCCGCGUGCGGGAUGACGGCCUUCGGGUUGUAAACCGCUUUCGCCUGUGACGAAGCGUGAGUGACGGUAAUGGGUAAAGAAGCACCGGCUAACUACGUG